UAACCUAACAUUCCGCAAACGUGAAGCC
Molecule: non-coding RNA, 28 nt
Filed under: Bombyx mori (domestic silkworm)
Lineage: Eukaryota; Metazoa; Arthropoda; Insecta; Lepidoptera; Bombycidae
Source: RNAcentral